CUUAUUUAUAUUCCUCUCUCACUACAGAGUAAUUCUAUACUCAUAUAGAAAAUUUAAUGUUAAAAUUAGUAACA
RNAcentral lists this transfer RNA (74 nucleotides) under Oreophrynella sp. ROM 39649. RNAcentral's name for it is "tRNA-Val". The record is from RNAcentral. Lineage: Eukaryota; Metazoa; Chordata; Amphibia; Anura; Bufonidae.